AGAGUUUGAUCCUGGCUCAGAAUGAACGUUGGCGGCGUGGAUUAGGCAUGCAAGUCGCGCGACAAGCUGUUCUGCUUGCAGAACAGUGGAGGAGCGGCGCAAGGGAGAGUAACGCGUGGAUCACCAACCCUCAGGACCGGGAUAGCGGCGGGAAACUGCCGGUAAUACCGGAUAAUAUCUCCGGAUCAAAUGGUGUGAUUCCGCCUGAGGACGGGUCCGCGUCCUAUUAGCUUGUUGGUGGGGUAAUGGCCUACCAAGGCUUCGAUGGGUACCGGGUGUGAGAGCAUGGCCCGGCUCACUGGGACUGAGACACUGCCCAGACACCUACGGGUGGCUGCAGUCGAGAAUAUUCGGCAAUGGACGCAAGUCUGACCGAGCGACGCCGCGUGCGGGAUGAAGGUCUUCGGAUUGUAAACCGCUGUCAGUUGGGAGGAAAUUCUAGGGAGUCAUCUCUCUAGUUUGACCCAUCUUCAGAGGAAGGACGGGCUAAGUUCGUGCCAGCAGCCGCGGUAAGACGAACCGUCCAAACGUUAUUCGGAAUCACUGGGCUUAAAGGGUGCGUAGGCGGCGCGGUAAGUUGGGUGUGAAAUCCCUCGGCUCAACCGAGGAAUUGCGCCCAAAACUACCGUGCUCGAGGAAGGCAGAGGUAAGCGGAACUGAUGGUGGAGCGGUGAAAUGCGUUGAUAUCAUCAGGAACAC
This 699-nucleotide ribosomal RNA is filed under the name uncultured bacterium. Its description in RNAcentral is "bacterial SSU rRNA". It matches the Rfam family "Bacterial small subunit ribosomal RNA", at positions 8 to 709 of the family's 1533-position model. The record is from RNAcentral.